GACGAACGCUGGCGGCGUGCUUAACACAUGCAAGUCGAACGGAAAGGCCCUGCUUUUGUGGGGUGCUCGAGUGGCGAACGGGUGUGUAACACGUGAGUAACCUGCCCUUGACUUUGGGAUAACUUCAGGAAACUGGGGCUAAUACCGGAUAGGAGCUCCUGCUGCAUGGUGGGGGUUGGAAAGUUUCGGCGGUUGGGGAUGGACUCGCGGCUUAUCAGCUUGUUGGUGGGGUAGUGGCUUACCAAGGCUUUGACGGGUAGCCGGCCUGAGAGGGUGACCGGGCACAUUGGGACUGAGAUACGGCCCAGACUCGUACGGGAGGCAGCAGUGGGAAAUAUUGCUCAGUGAGCGGAAGCCUGAUGCAGCAACGCCGCGUGCGGGAUAUCGGCCUUCGGGUUGUAAACCGAUUUCGCCUGUGACGAGGCGUGAGUGACGGUAAUGGGUAAAGAAGCACCGGCUAACUACGUG
Molecule: ribosomal RNA, 468 nt
Filed under: uncultured bacterium
Lineage: Bacteria
Description: partial 16S ribosomal RNA
Rfam family: Bacterial small subunit ribosomal RNA
Source: RNAcentral